CCUGCUCGUCGUCCUCGUCAAACUCAUACUCAUCCUUGACGGGGGUCACAGUUUUCUGGGGCUCCGGAUUCUUAGUCUUGUGCUUCAGACCUUUCUCAAACUCGGAGUCCGUGUUAUUGCCGUCGACUGAGCUGGAAGGAAAGUAAGAUCACCUGUCGCUAAUCCGUGCCCAGGACCCACUGAACGCAAGGACAGCAGACCUCACUUUACUGCGCUUCAGAUGCCGUGUUGUCUACAGACGGAGGGUCUGCGGCGACCCUACCCUGCACCCAGCAAGUCUACUGGCGCCAUUUCCCCGACAGCAUUUGCUCACUUGGUGUCUGUGUGUCACAUUUUGGUAGUUCUCGCGGUAUUUCAGACCCUCCACCAGCAAAAAGAUCACGACUCCUGGAGCUUCAGGUGACAGUUACAUUUUUUAGCAAUAAUGUAUUUCUUUUUUUUUUAAGGCCGCAUGGCACAGCAUGCAGGAUCUUAGUUCUCUAACCAGGGAUUGAACCCGUGUCCCCUGCAGCGGAAGCGUGCAGUCUUAACCACUGGACCGCCAGGGAAGUCCCGCAAUAAUGUAUUUCUUAACGAAGGAGUGCAACUUGUUUAUAGAUACUGCUAUUGCACACCUAACGGCAACUGUCCAGUGCAGACAACGUUCAGAUGCACCAGGAAACCAAAGAAUUCUGUGUGACUCACUCCAUCUCGAUCCUCGCUUCACUCGGGUGGCCGGGGCAGAACCGACAGCCUCCCCCAGGUGCCUGGCAAACGGGACGGCGGCCUCCACUUCAGCCCGGGCUGCACGCAGGUGUACCUGGGUCUGCAUGGCGGGAGCAGGACACUGCUUCCUGGGCAGGCGCUCCCCUGCCCUCUGGCAAAUCACCACGGUGCUGGACAAUCCUGGGGCCAGAGUCAGGGCUCUGGUCCCGUGUCCUUGCUGUCUGCCAGCCGACGAACACCCCAACUGCUUCAGGCCACCACGUUCCCUGGCUACGGCCCCUCCCUCUGAGACCAGCAACGCAGGUUAAGUCCCCUCAAUGCCGUCCUCCCUCCGGCCGAGAAACGGUCUCUGCCGUAUGCAGCCCCGAAGGCCACCAGCCCACCCGGACAGUCCUGGGUCACCUCCCAUCUCCUGGCCCUCAGCCUUCUCCCCUCUGCAGAGCCCACACCUGAGGCCACGUGUCCAUUGUCUCUCACUGCUCCCUAAUAACAAGUUUAAAGACAAUUACACAAGCGGAGAUUCAGGCGGCGGUCCUCUCCCUCCCAGCUCCAUCACCUACCAGCCAGCCAGCCUCAUUUCACCCAUACCCCAUACCUGCCCACUGCCCCGGGUAUCUUUUUGUUUUUUAAUUUUUGGCUGUGUCGUGUCUUAGCUGUGGCAGGCGGGACCUUUCGUUGCGGUGUGUGGGCUCUUCGUUGCGGUGCGUGGGCUUCUCUCUAGUUGCGGCGCGCGGGCUUAGUUGCCCCAUGGCAUGUGGGAUCUUAGUUCCUUGACCAGGGAUCAAACCUGCAUCCCUGCGUUGGAAGGCGGAUUCUUAAACACUGACCACCAGGGAAGUCCCUGCCUGCCCUCGUUUUUUUUAGCAAAUCCCAGAUAUUUCAUAAAGUUUUUCAGCAUACUUCUUCUCUAAAA
Long non-coding RNA from Orcinus orca (killer whale), 1618 nucleotides. RefSeq lists it as uncharacterized. The record is from RefSeq and is a predicted model, not a curated record. The transcript is spliced from 2 exons. Lineage: Eukaryota; Metazoa; Chordata; Mammalia; Artiodactyla; Delphinidae.